RNAcentral lists this ribosomal RNA (253 nucleotides) under uncultured bacterium. RNAcentral describes it as "partial 16S ribosomal RNA". It matches the Rfam family "Bacterial small subunit ribosomal RNA", at positions 524 to 776 of the family's 1533-position model. The record is from RNAcentral.
UACGUAGGGGGCGAGCGUUGUCCGGAAUUACUGGGCGUAAAGAGAGCGUAGGCGGCACUACAUGUCUCAUGUGAAAUACCCGGGCUUAACUUGGGGGUUGCAUGGGAAACUGUAGAGCUUGAGUACAGGAGAGGCAAGCGGAAUUCCUAGUGUAGCGGUGAAAUGCAUAGAUAUUAGGAGGAACACCAGUGGCGAAGGCGGCUUGCUGGACUGAAACUGACGUUGAGGCUCGAAAGCGUGGGGAGCAAACAGG